GACGAACGCUGGCGGCGUGCUUAACACAUGCAAGUCGAACGGAAAGGCCCUGCUUUUGUGGGGUGCUCGAGUGGCGAACGGGUGAGUAACACGUGAGUAACCUGCCCUUGACUUUGGGAUAACUUCAGGAAACUGGGGCUAAUACCGGAUAGGAGCUCCUGCUGCAUGGUGGGGGUUGGAAAGUUUCGGCGGUUGGGGAUGGACUCGCGGCUUAUCAGCUUGUUGGUGGGGUAGUGGCUUACCAAGGCUUUGACGGGUAGCCGGCCUGAGAGGGUGUCCGGCCACAUUGGGACUGAGAUACGGCCCAGACUCCUACGGGAGGCAGCAGUGGGGAAUAUUGCACAAUGGGCGGAAGCCUGAUGCAGCAACGUCGCGUGCGGGAUGACGGCCUUCGGGUUGUAAACCGCUUUCGCCUGUGACGAAGCGUGAGUGACGGUAAUGGGUAAAGAAGCACCGGCUAACUACGUG
This 468-nucleotide ribosomal RNA is filed under the name uncultured bacterium. RNAcentral's name for it is "partial 16S ribosomal RNA". It matches the Rfam family "Bacterial small subunit ribosomal RNA", at positions 28 to 507 of the family's 1533-position model. The record is from RNAcentral.